GACUCCUGAAAGACUCAGCUCUGGGCUGUCUCCAGAGCUUUUCUGCUCCUAACACCAGGAGAAGUCUUGGUUUAAUGGCUCCGUCAUCACCCCCGUUUAUGUUCUUUUCAGGACUGAAGCAAGCUCGACUCCUUGGGAUCUGCAGCAGAGGAAUCUCUGGAUGCCUGAUUGCAGCUGACAGAAUCAGUGGAAAAUAAAUUGCCAGACAGCCUAAGGCAUUCCGUUUGUGUACCUGGCACUGGAGGACAAAAUGGUGAUGCCAGCCAAGGUGUGUGUGCCACCAGUGCAGUGGUGAGAGCAGUGUCUGUGCCCAGCAAUGAGAUGCCCUGUGUCCUGUGCCCGCUCCAGGCAGAGGAUCUGCUCAGGGACCCAUCCCAGGGCACAGUGUGGGACCAGAAGGAGAUUGGCAAGAGGUGGGACCGUGCUGCCCAUGGGACUGCAGCACCCUGACAACAGGUUUCAUCCCAGGUUUGAACCCAGCAGUGCUCCCUUCCUGUCCUAUGGUUUUGCUAUGAGAGGGGGAAGAAGUGCCUGGAGAAAAGAGCAACACCUGCAUGUGCAGCUGAUGAGACCAGGGUGUGAAAAGGUCCUGUCUUCCCUUCCCACCCCGCAGUGAUGAAGCCCACACAGCCUGAAGCCCCGGGAAAUGUGGGAGGUGUCGACACAUGGUUUGUGCACCACCCCAUUUGCUGCAGGAACAGACGAUUGCAUCUCCCCAGAACAAAGGAGAAGGACAAAGUGUCCAGGUGUUUGAGACCACGGAGUUCCAACACAACGUGUAUUCUGGGGAGAACUUGGAAGGAAAAAACCACUUUGGGGAGGCUGCAGCAUUCCAGCCUGGUUCCAAGAUCCUGGAGGAGGAGUCCCUGUUUGUGUUUUCAGAAUUGAAUGUUUCAGUUUUCUGACAUUUUCCACAAGUCAGGCUCAAGUAAAACUAUAUUUUGUUCAAACAGACCCUUUGAAAUAAGAGAAAUUUUUGCUCUUCCAGACGACUUCUUGGAUGGGAAUUCUUCUUCAUUUCAAGAACAUAGGAAAAUUGAAAUAAUGAAACUUCCUCUGAAAAAUCAAAGCCAUUUGUCACACAUCACACGGCUUGUGUCAUCUUUCACUGACAGUACAGGGGCUUCAGACUGAAAGUCCUGUCCCUGCUGGAGCAGAAAUUCAGCAUGCGAGAAGGAGGCAAGGUUUUAAGUAGAACACCAGGGGAGUUUCCCAUCUCUGACAAAAAUAAUUAAACACAGUAGUCAAAUUCUCGCAGACCCUGAGGAUUUGGGAUGGUGGUUUUUCAGCUCAUCUGCAAGGGGCCCACCCAAGCACCUGGUGCCCACUGGCAGGGCAUUGGUUCAGAUGCUGACCCAGCUCAAAGGGCCGAGCACCAAGGUCUGAAUCCCCCUUUCCAGCAGCACUGGGGGCUCCUCGAAGCCUGACUCUGCCUCGUUCCUGAGCCCUGUGUCAGGAGGGACUGGGAAGCAGCAGAAACAAUGGAAGUUCUCCUCUGUCUCCAUCAGUGGAAAGGAAGCAGCGUUGCUGGAGCGACAGGGAUUGAUGGAUGGGACCCGGGGUGCGGCACAGUCUGUCAGAGCCGAGGUUAAUGAGGGGGAAUGGGAAUAGCCUGUGCCUGGACAGCUGACAUCAUCUGCUAAAUUAACUGCAAACCUACUCACACGGUACUCCUGCUCCUCACUCCACUGUCAUUAACCCCAGGAACCAGCUGCAGCAGGGAUGUGCCUGGAAUCCACACGGAGCUCCAGGCAGCUGUCGGGGCUGUGUGCUGGGCUGGCACAGCCGGGCUCUGCCAGGCUGGGGCAUCACCCCCGGGCACCCCCUUGGCACGAGGGGACAGGGGACCCAGUCCUCAUUGCAGGGGGACACCAGGCUUAGUUUCAGUUUGUCCCUGGCCCCACUUAGGGCACAGAGAGGCAAUCAUAAAUAAGGUGAAGAUUCCCUUCAGAAUUCAUUCCCACGUGUUGGAUGGAGCGUCUCACAGGUGAGGACAACCUCUGCAUCCCUGCUGCUUCUCCAGGAGCUGUUUCCUGGGUAGGGCUGACACCACUGUGGCCUCCAGAACCAAGCUGGCUCUGCUGCCGGGUGGGAGCACUUCAGAAGUGUUCCAAAUGCAUUUGGUACUCGACUGCAAAGUGUUACCUGUGCUGGAAACCAAAUUAACCUACAGCUGGAUGCUGGAAAACCUGGCAUUAAAUUAUUUAAUAGCUUCAAAUCCUUUCCUACUUAAUUCUCAUUUACAGCAUAAAUACUGAAGUAAAUUAAGUGAUUUAAGGGCAAACCCAGAUCCUAAUUUCCAUUGAUGCCUUGUUCUCACCUUGCAGGAAGAAAGUUACACUGAGAGGCUGGUUUCUACUCAGCAGACACUGCUCUGCAAUAGGAGGCUCCAGUUCUUCCCAGCAGUGUGAUAAUUCACAGUUUUAAUAAGUUUUUGCCUGUCCUGGAAGUAAAAUACAACAUUGAAGCUGCCAGGAGCAGUUUUCUUAGUUUGUCAUUCCAGUAUGGCCUUUCCUGACCUUUGGACAUAUGCCAUGAAUGCUCUAAUCCUCAGCAAGGGUUUUAUCUUAAGCAGAUAUGAUGAAGGAUCUAAAAAGUAGGUCAGGAGACAUUAGAGGCUGUUUGAUUCAUUGUGAACUGUGGGUACAGCAUGGCUUUUAAGCCUGAAAUGUCAUUACUUGGAUGCAAUGAAGCUGCUGUUUUGCUUUAGAAAAUAGUCAAAUGGAUGGUUGGUAGGAAAAAAGAACCAGGAGGGCCUGGGACUUCUGGGGACCAAAUGCCCAUUUCAAGCAGAAACCACCACCAAGCCUUUGCUUGUGUUUUGGGGUGGCAGCACCCCCUGUCCAUGGCACAGCAGUGCUGAGGGUCCCUCAGCAAGGACCUGCAGUCCCCAAAAAGUGCAGGGCAGGGUUCUGCCCCAGCACUGCCAGCUCACCCUUGGCCAGGUGGCAUCUAGGACAGUGAGAGCAUCAUGGAAAUGGAAACGUGGAAGCUCUGCCUGCCCCUCCUGCUGGGUGAGCCACUGCUCUGGGGACACUCCUUGUAUCUUUUCCUAAGUAUUGCCAAUAUGUUUCCAUCCCUUGCAGUGCUUUCCCAGCCUGUGUCUGUCCGGGGCACAGAGUUUUCAUUUCUUUUAAUGAUUCUCAAGAAAUUUUUGAGAAAUCAAAAAUGCAUUUCAGAGUUAUCUUCAAGGCUUACUGUGGUUCUAAUGGUUUAAAUCCACAGUGCAAAUGCUAUUUUUCGAAGCUUUACUGGUCCCCACGAUUGUAAUGGUGGCUUUACUGGAGCCCUGGGAGUUUAGAAAGGAAAAAAGUAGCUUAUCAAGUGAAAUCCCUUAAAAUAUACAUUCUCUCACACACACACGCACGCACGUAUACAGAUAUAUAUGAAAGUUUUCAAAGUUCAUCUAAUCUAUCUCUGGUUUGGGUAUUUGUGAACCAGACACUGUCAUUAAGGUUCCCAGCCCUUUUCCCUUCCUGGGGAUGUUGCAGCAGGCAGUUGACUGGAGCUCCCUCAGGCCUGAAAGAAAAACUCAGGCAGCUCACAGGGCUGGGGCACCCACCCUGCUCCAGAAAAUGCUGCCAGGAGCAAGAGCUUGGCCUCCCAGCACUUCCCUGCAAUUGCUGGAGCACCUGGGAUCCUGAAAUAUCUGUGUAACAGCAUUAGUGCAAGAUGAAUAUAGCUCCAUACCCUGGAUCUGUUUAACCUAAUAAAUAGUUUCAGUUAAUGGACAGCAAACGGAAUGAUGCUCAGUAAAUUUGAUUUUAUGAGCCUUUUACUUAUUUACUGUGCCCAUUAGGUCAGAAGUUAGGUAAUGGUAAGUGUCCAUUAGUGCAUUAGCUCAGUGAUGAGGAAGCUGAAUUGGGGAAAAAAAAAAAAAUAGGUUGAAAAACCCCCAAAGCCACAGGCAUUUAUUAAAUCUUCAUUCAUUAGUGGUGACUGCAAUGGAUGCUGAGCUGGAGGGACACUGGACCCUGGUCUUCAGGUAGAAAGUACAGCAACCUGUGAAGCCUCUUCUUCCUUCCCACGUUUGCUCCAUGUCUCUCCUGCCAUGGGGAGCCUGGGGCAGUGAGACAGGGAUGGGGCUACCCAUGUUUUCCCAUCCCAGGAAAGUCUCAGUGUGGUGUGGGUGGUACAGGUGGCCUGGGACUGCUCCUUCCAAUCAUGAAUACAUCACUGGGCUAAUAACAAUCAAAUUAAUUGUUUCAUUGAUAA
Molecule: long non-coding RNA, 4215 nt
Organism: Pseudopipra pipra
Lineage: Eukaryota; Metazoa; Chordata; Aves; Passeriformes; Pipridae
Exons: 5
Source: RefSeq, a predicted model, not a curated record